AAAGGUAAGCUACUAAGAGCGAAUGGUGGAUGCCUUGACUGGUAAAGGCGAUGAAGGACGUACUAGACUGCGAUAAGCUACGGGGAGCUGUCAAGAAGCUUUGAUCCGUAGAUUUCCG
This 118-nucleotide ribosomal RNA is filed under the name Campylobacter jejuni. RNAcentral describes it as "partial 23S ribosomal RNA". It matches the Rfam family "Bacterial large subunit ribosomal RNA", at positions 1 to 116 of the family's 2925-position model. Lineage: Bacteria; Pseudomonadati; Campylobacterota; Epsilonproteobacteria; Campylobacterales; Campylobacteraceae. The record is from RNAcentral.